UGGUGUAAUGGUUAGCACUCUGGACU
This 26-nucleotide non-coding RNA is filed under the name Drosophila melanogaster (fruit fly). Lineage: Eukaryota; Metazoa; Arthropoda; Insecta; Diptera; Drosophilidae. The record is from RNAcentral. RNAcentral also lists the same sequence under 7 other names.